CAGGAAUCUUGCGCAAUGGGGGGAACCCUGACGCAGCGACGUCGCGUGGAGGAAGACGGCCUUCGGGUUGUAAACUCCUUUUAUGAGGGACGAGCAAGGACGGUACCUCAUGAAUAAGCCCCGGCUAACUCCGUGCCAGCAGCCGCGGUAAUACGGAGGGGGCGAGCGUUGUCCGAAUUUAUUGGGCGUAAAGCGCGUGUAGGCGGACUGUCAAGCCUGAGGUGAAAGGUUGGGGCUCAACCCCAUACAGUGCCUUGGGGACUGGUAGUCUGGAGGCAGGCAGAGGUGCGUGGAAUUCCUGGUGUAGCGGUGGAAUGCGUAGAUAUCAGGAAGAACACCCGUGGCGAAGGCGGCGCACUGGGCCUGUACUGACGCUGAGACGCGAAAGCGUGGGGAGCGAACG
This 403-nucleotide ribosomal RNA is filed under the name uncultured bacterium. RNAcentral describes it as "bacterial SSU rRNA". It matches the Rfam family "Bacterial small subunit ribosomal RNA", at positions 356 to 774 of the family's 1533-position model. The record is from RNAcentral.